GCCCCUAUCGUCUAGUGGUUAGGACAGAUGGUUCUCAGCCAUCAAACCGGGGUUCGACUCCCCGUGGGGGCA
Molecule: non-coding RNA, 72 nt
Organism: Candidatus Liptonbacteria bacterium
Lineage: Bacteria; Candidatus Liptoniibacteriota
Source: Rfam